RNAcentral lists this ribosomal RNA (468 nucleotides) under uncultured bacterium. RNAcentral's name for it is "partial 16S ribosomal RNA". It matches the Rfam family "Bacterial small subunit ribosomal RNA", at positions 28 to 507 of the family's 1533-position model. The record is from RNAcentral.
GACGAACGCUGGCGGCGUGCUUAACACAUGCAAGUCGAACGGAGAGGCCCUGCUUUUGUGGGGUGCUCGAGUGGCGAACGGGUGAGUAACACGUGAGUAACCUGCCCUUGACUUUGGGAUAACUUCAGGAAACUGGGGCUAAUACCGGAUAGGAGCUCCUGCUGCAUGGUGGGGGUUGGAAAGUUUCGGCGGUUGGGGAUGGACUCGCGGCUUAUCAGCUUGGUGGUGGGGUAGUGGCUUACCAAGGCUUUGACGGGUAGCCGGCCUGAGAGGGUGACCGGCCACAUUGGGACUGAGAUACGGCCCAGACUCCUACGGGAGGCAGCAGUGGGGAAUAUUGCACAAUGGGCGGAAGCCUGAUGCAGCAACGCCGCGUGCGGGAUGACGGCCUUCGGGUUGUAAACCGCUUUCGCCUGUGACGAAGCGUGAGUGACGGUAAUGGGUAAAGAAGCACCGGCUAACUACGUG